UACAGAGGGUGCAAGCGUUGUUCGGAAUUAUUGGGCGUAAAGGGCGCGUAGGCGGUGCGGUAAGUCUGUAGUGAAAUCUCUGGGCUCAACUCAGAGUCUGCUAUAGAAACUGCCGUGCUCGAGUGUGGGGAGGAUGGUGAGGUAGGUCGAAUUCCCGGGUGUAGGCUGGUAGAAAUGCGUAGAUAGUCGGGAGGAACACCCUGGUGGCGAAAGCGGCUCACUGGACCACAACUGACGCUGAUGCGCGAAAGCUAGGGGAGCAAACAGG
This 268-nucleotide ribosomal RNA is filed under the name uncultured bacterium. RNAcentral's name for it is "partial 16S ribosomal RNA". It matches the Rfam family "Bacterial small subunit ribosomal RNA", at positions 524 to 776 of the family's 1533-position model. The record is from RNAcentral.